RNAcentral lists this ribosomal RNA (256 nucleotides) under uncultured Glomeraceae. Its description in RNAcentral is "partial small subunit ribosomal RNA". It matches the Rfam family "Eukaryotic small subunit ribosomal RNA", at positions 624 to 884 of the family's 1831-position model. Lineage: Eukaryota; Fungi; Glomeromycota; Glomeromycetes; Glomerales; Glomeraceae. The record is from RNAcentral.
AAGCUCGUAGUUGAAUUUCGGGAUCAAUACGUCGGUCGUGCCUCCGGUAUGCACUGGUAUUAUUGAUUUCUACCUUCUGACGAACUGUGAUGUCAUUAAUUUGGUGUCAUGGGGAAUCAGGACUGUUACUUUGAAAAAAUUAGAGUGUUUAAAGCAGGCACACGCUUGAAUACAUUAGCAUGGAAUAAUGAAAUAGGACGUUCGAACCUAUUUUGUUGGUUUCUAGGAUUGACGUAAUGAUUAAUAGGAAUAGUGG